GGAAAUGUGGCUUAGUGGUAGAGCACUUGCCUAGCAUGCAUGAAGCCCUGGGUUCGAUUCCUCAGCAUCA
Molecule: transfer RNA, 70 nt
Filed under: Dipodomys ordii (Ord's kangaroo rat)
Lineage: Eukaryota; Metazoa; Chordata; Mammalia; Rodentia; Heteromyidae
Rfam family: tRNA
About the family: Transfer RNA (tRNA) molecules are approximately 80 nucleotides in length. Their secondary structure includes four short double-helical elements and three loops (D, anti-codon, and T loops).
Source: Rfam by way of RNAcentral